Molecule: long non-coding RNA, 151 nt
Organism: Phyllostomus discolor (pale spear-nosed bat)
Lineage: Eukaryota; Metazoa; Chordata; Mammalia; Chiroptera; Phyllostomidae
Exons: 3
Source: RefSeq, a predicted model, not a curated record
UCUGUACACUUUUCUGUGCUCUCUCCUUCUUUAAACAAGUGUCCGGCGUUAGAGUCUUCAUGUGCCUUUUGCUUGCUCCUAUGAGUGAGCAUCCGGCCUCACAGAAGAUCUGGCCAAAUAUGUGUUAUGUAUUAGGAAAUACGGUCCAAAU